This 262-nucleotide long non-coding RNA is filed under the name Eutrema salsugineum. RNAcentral describes it as "long non-coding RNA (ESAL_LNC001391)". The record is from RNAcentral. Lineage: Eukaryota; Viridiplantae; Streptophyta; Magnoliopsida; Brassicales; Brassicaceae.
GAAGAGCAAGAUGUCCCGUAAACCAGCCGGCAAGCACUUCCACCCGCGGCCAACAAGCAAUUUCCCGCGGUCAGGAGCAUCCCGACCGCGGCAAACCACUCAUUCCCCAUGGUCAGAGCACUCCCGACCGCGGCCAUCAACCUCCGAGCCCAAAAAGCCCAUUUCUGAAGCCCACAUUUAGAGAAACCCUAAGUGACGUCCAGAGAGGUCUUGAGCACUAUAAAUACAUGUCUUAGGAACCCUAAAUGGUGAAAAAACCGAA